GCAAGAGAAGCAAUUGCAGGUACAUUUAUGAUUUUUAUUUUCUCGAAUUUUAGGAGGACAUAAGUAGUCAUCUAAGUUAAAGAGCACGAGUUCAUAGAAAGGAGGAUAUCCUUCUUCAUUAGCUUUGCGGAUAGAGAAUUCAUAUAGAUCUUCGAGAACAGAGUAGGGCAACUGAUUUUCAACCAAUAUCAAAUCCCCUAAUACACCAUAUUCGCGUGUUGAUUUUCCGAGUUUAAAAUCAUCUUUAAAAUUUCUAUUGAAAUAAUGUUUUUCUCGUCUCCUCAAGAAGAGCUCUAUGAUGAACACAGAAUCCAAGAGAAUCAUCUUGACGAAGUCUUCAAUAUAUACCUCAUCAAAUGUCUCUUCAUAACAAUGG
This 376-nucleotide unclassified non-coding RNA is filed under the name Hevea brasiliensis (rubber tree). Lineage: Eukaryota; Viridiplantae; Streptophyta; Magnoliopsida; Malpighiales; Euphorbiaceae. The record is from RNAcentral.